GGUUGGCUGUGGAAAAUGACACUUGAGAUUCUUGGACAACUCCUUGGCCAUCUGGAAACAAAAAACUAAUGGUCGCCCUGUUCAUCACUUUGGGAAGCUAACUAUUCACUACCACUAUGGUAAUUACUUUUAGCUAGUUACCCUUUCACCUCCCAUUUUCUCUCUUCUCUUCUCAAGGUGAGCCCAUGUGUCCGUACCUUAGAGUUUAAUUGUACUGUACUGUAUCAUCCAACAAAGUUUUGAACCAUAUAAUAUGCAUCCCAUGUGGUAUGUCACGGG
RNAcentral lists this long non-coding RNA (279 nucleotides) under Elaeis guineensis (African oil palm). RNAcentral's name for it is "long non-coding RNA (EGUI_LNC005744)". Lineage: Eukaryota; Viridiplantae; Streptophyta; Magnoliopsida; Arecales; Arecaceae. The record is from RNAcentral.